RNAcentral lists this ribosomal RNA (668 nucleotides) under uncultured Fusobacterium sp. RNAcentral describes it as "bacterial SSU rRNA". It matches the Rfam family "Bacterial small subunit ribosomal RNA", at positions 28 to 721 of the family's 1533-position model. Lineage: Bacteria; Fusobacteriati; Fusobacteriota; Fusobacteriia; Fusobacteriales; Fusobacteriaceae. The record is from RNAcentral.
GAUGAACGCUGACAGAAUGCUUAACACAUGCAAGUCAACUUGAACUUCGGUUUGGGUGGCGGACGGGUGAGUAACGCGUAAAGAACUUGCCUCACAGAUAGGGACAACAUUUGGAAACGAAUGCUAAUACCUGAUAUUAUGAUUUUAGGGCAUCCUAGGAUUAUGAAAGCUAUAUGCGCUGUGAGAGAGCUUUGCGUCCCAUUAGCUAGUUGGAGAGGUAACGGCUCACCAAGGCGAUGAUGGGUAGCCGGCCUGAGAGGGUGAUCGGCCACAAGGGGACUGAGACACGGCCCUUACUCCUACGGGAGGCAGCAGUGGGGAAUAUUGGACAAUGGACCAAGAGUCUGAUCCAGCAAUUCUGUGUGCACGAUGAAGUUUUUCGGAAUGUAAAGUGCUUUCAGUUGGGAAGAAAAAAAUGACGGUACCAACAGAAGAAGUGACGGCUAAAUACGUGCCAGCAGCCGCGGUAAUACGUAUGUCACAAGCGUUAUCCGGAUUUAUUGGGCGUAAAGCGCGUCUAGGUGGUUAUAUAAGUCUGAUGUGAAAAUGCAGGGGCUCAACUCUGUCUUGCGUUGGAAACUGUGUAACUAGAGUACUGGAGAAGUAAGCGGAACUACAAGUGUAGAGGUGAAAUUCGUAUAUUUUUGUAGAUAUGCCGAUGGGGAACU